AUGCAAAUAUAAGGUAAAAGUCCGAGUCAGCCUUUUCCCGCCAUAUUUUAAAUCUCAAAUAUCUCGAAAAGGAGGUCCAUGACCUAUCAAUAUUUUUAGCUUAUCUUUAUCCUUAAUUGAUGCUCUACCAGCUUAUACUAGUAGUAUCAAUUUUAAUUUCUUAAUUUCUUAAGUUUUACCUAACCUCACCUAAGUACAUCCUUAA
RNAcentral lists this long non-coding RNA (205 nucleotides) under Mytilus galloprovincialis (Mediterranean mussel). Lineage: Eukaryota; Metazoa; Mollusca; Bivalvia; Mytilida; Mytilidae. The record is from RNAcentral.